AACGAACGCUGGCGGCAUGCCUAACACAUGCAAGUCGAACGAUCCCUUCGGGGAUAGUGGCGCACGGGUGCGUAACGCGUGGGAACCUGCCCUUAGGUUCGGAAUAACUCAGAGAAAUUUGAGCUAAUACCGGAUAAUGUCUUCGGACCAAAGAUUUAUCGCCUUUGGAUGGGCCCGCGUUGGAUUAGCUAGUUGGUGGGGUAAAGGCCUACCAAGGCGACGAUCCAUAGCUGGUCUGAGAGGAUGAUCAGCCACACUGGGACUGAGACACGGCCCAGACUCCUACGGGAGGCAGCAGUGGGGAAUAUUGGACAAUGGGCGAAAGCCUGAUCCAGCAAUGCCGCGUGAGUGAUGAAGGCCUUAGGGUUGUAAAGCUCUUUUACCCGGGAUGAUAAUGACAGUACUGGGAGAAUAAGCCCCGGCUAACUCCGUG
Molecule: ribosomal RNA, 433 nt
Filed under: uncultured bacterium
Lineage: Bacteria
Description: partial 16S ribosomal RNA
Rfam family: Bacterial small subunit ribosomal RNA
Source: RNAcentral